RNAcentral lists this ribosomal RNA (253 nucleotides) under uncultured bacterium. RNAcentral describes it as "partial 16S ribosomal RNA". It matches the Rfam family "Bacterial small subunit ribosomal RNA", at positions 524 to 776 of the family's 1533-position model. The record is from RNAcentral.
UACGUAGGGUCCGAGCGUUGUCCGGAAUUAUUGGGCGUAAAGGGCUCGUAGGCGGUUUGUUGCGUCGGGAGUGAAAACUCACAGCUCAACUGUGGGCGUGCGGGCGAUACGGGCAGACUAGAGUACUGCAGGGGAGACUGGAAUUCCUGGUGUAGCGGUGGAAUGCGCAGAUAUCAGGAGGAACACCGGUGGCGAAGGCGGGUCUCUGGGCAGUAACUGACGCUGAGGCGCGAAAGCGUGGGGAGCAAACAGG